RNAcentral lists this ribosomal RNA (1366 nucleotides) under Escherichia coli. RNAcentral describes it as "partial 23S ribosomal RNA". It matches the Rfam family "Bacterial large subunit ribosomal RNA", at positions 1574 to 2916 of the family's 2925-position model. The record is from RNAcentral. Lineage: Bacteria; Pseudomonadati; Pseudomonadota; Gammaproteobacteria; Enterobacterales; Enterobacteriaceae.
GCACUGCGGUGCUGAAGCAACAAAUGCCCUGCUUCCAGGAAAAGCCUCUAAGCAUCAGGUAACAUCAAAUCGUACCCCAAACCGACACAGGUGGUCAGGUAGAGAAUACCAAGGCGCUUGAGAGAACUCGGGUGAAGGAACUAGGCAAAAUGGUGCCGUAACUUCGGGAGAAGGCACGCUGAUAUGUAGGUGAAGUCCCUCGCGGAUGGAGCUGAAAUCAGUCGAAGAUACCAGCUGGCUGCAACUGUUUAUUAAAAACACAGCACUGUGCAAACACGAAAGUGGACGUAUACGGUGUGACGCCUGCCCGGUGCCGGAAGGUUAAUUGAUGGGGUUAGCGCAAGCGAAGCUCUUGAUCGAAGCCCCGGUAAACGGCGGCCGUAACUAUAACGGUCCUAAGGUAGCGAAAUUCCUUGUCGGGUAAGUUCCGACCUGCACGAAUGGCGUAAUGAUGGCCAGGCUGUCUCCACCCGAGACUCAGUGAAAUUGAACUCGCUGUGAAGAUGCAGUGUACCCGCGGCAAGACGGAAAGACCCCGUGAACCUUUACUAUAGCUUGACACUGAACAUUGAGCCUUGAUGUGUAGGAUAGGUGGGAGGCUUUGAAGUGUGGACGCCAGUCUGCAUGGAGCCGACCUUGAAAUACCACCCUUUAAUGUUUGAUGUUCUAACGUUGACCCGUAAUCCGGGUUGCGGACAGUGUCUGGUGGGUAGUUUGACUGGGGCGGUCUCCUCCUAAAGAGUAACGGAGGAGCACGAAGGUUGGCUAAUCCUGGUCGGACAUCAGGAGGUUAGUGCAAUGGCAUAAGCCAGCUUGACUGCGAGCGUGACGGCGCGAGCAGGUGCGAAAGCAGGUCAUAGUGAUCCGGUGGUUCUGAAUGGAAGGGCCAUCGCUCAACGGAUAAAAGGUACUCCGGGGAUAACAGGCUGAUACCGCCCAAGAGUUCAUAUCGACGGCGGUGUUUGGCACCUCGAUGUCGGCUCAUCACAUCCUGGGGCUGAAGUAGGUCCCAAGGGUAUGGCUGUUCGCCAUUUAAAGUGGUACGCGAGCUGGGUUUAGAACGUCGUGAGACAGUUCGGUCCCUAUCUGCCGUGGGCGCUGGAGAACUGAGGGGGGCUGCUCCUAGUACGAGAGGACCGGAGUGGACGCAUCACUGGUGUUCGGGUUGUCAUGCCAAUGGCACUGCCCGGUAGCUAAAUGCGGAAGAGAUAAGUGCUGAAAGCAUCUAAGCACGAAACUUGCCCCGAGAUGAGUUCUCCCUGACUCCUUGAGAGUCCUGAAGGAACGUUGAAGACGACGACGUUGAUAGGCCGGGUGUGUAAGCGCAGCGAUGCGUUGAGCUAACCGGUACUAAUGAACCGUGAGG